CUGUUUUGGCAGCACAUAUAAUAAAAUUGGAAUGCUACAGAAGACUAAUAUGGACCCUCCCCAAGGAAGACAUCCAAUUCAUGAAGCAGUCCAUAUUUUA
Molecule: small nuclear RNA, 100 nt
Filed under: Peromyscus maniculatus bairdii (prairie deer mouse)
Lineage: Eukaryota; Metazoa; Chordata; Mammalia; Rodentia; Cricetidae
Source: RNAcentral